This 451-nucleotide ribosomal RNA is filed under the name uncultured bacterium. Its description in RNAcentral is "bacterial SSU rRNA". It matches the Rfam family "Bacterial small subunit ribosomal RNA", at positions 21 to 507 of the family's 1533-position model. The record is from RNAcentral.
GGCUCAGGAUGAACGCUGGCGGCGUGCCUAAUACAUGCAAGUCGUGCGGAAAGGCCACUUCGGUGGUACUCGAGCGGCGGACGGCAGAGUAACGCGUAGGAACAUACCCCAAACUGAGGGAUAACUGCUCGAAAGAGUAGCUAAUACCGCAUGUGAUCUUCGGAUUAAAGCGUUCGGCGGUUUGGGAAUGGCCUGCGUCCGAUUAGCUUGUUGGUGAGGUAAUAGCUCACCAAGGCGACGAUCGGUAGCUGGUCUGAGAGGAUGAUCAGCCUGACUGGAACUGAGAACGGUCCAGACUCCUACGGGAGGCAGCAGUAGGGAAAUUUUCCACAAUGGGCGAAAGCCUGAUGGAGCAACGCCGCGUGCAGGAUGAAUGCCUUCGGGUUGUAAACUGCUUUUAUUAGUGAAGAAUAUGACGGUAACUAAUGAAUAAGGGUCGGCUAACUACGUG